UCAAGUAAUUAAGUGCAUGUGGUGGAUGCCUUGGCAGUCAGAGGCGAUGAAAGACGUGAUAGCCUGCGAAAAGCUCCGGGGAGGCGGCAAAUAUCCUUUGAUCCGGAGAUGUCUGAAUGGGGGAACCCACCUACUUUAAGGUAGGUAUUGCAACAUGAAUACAUAGUGUUGCAAGGCGAACGAGGGGAAGUGAAACAUCUCAGUACCCUUAGGAAAAGAAAUCAAUUGAGAUUCCCUCAGUAGCGGCGAGCGAACGGGGAUCAGCCCAUUAAGUUAUGUGUGUUUUAGUGGAACGCUCUGGGAAGUGCGAACGUAGAGGGUGAUAUUCCCGUACACGAAAGGGCACACAUAAUGAUGACGAGUAGGGCGAGGCACGUGAAACCUUGUCUGAAUAUGGGGGGACCAUCCUCCAAGGCUAAAUACUCCUGACUGACCGAUAGUGAACCAGUACCGUGAGGGAAAGGCGAAAAGAACCCCUGUGAGGGGAGUGAAAUAGAUCCUGAAACCGCAUGCAUACAAGCAGUGGGAGCACCUUCGUGGUGUGACUGCGUACCUUUUGUAUAAUGGGUCAGCGACUUAUAUUCAGUAGCGAGGUUAACCGUAUAGGGGAGCCGUAGAGAAAUCGAGUCUUAAUAGGGCGUUUAGUUGCUGGGUAUAGACCCGAAACCAGGCGAUCUAUCCAUGAGCAGGUUGAAGGUUGGGUAACACUAACUGGAGGACCGAACCCACUGUCGUUGAAAAGCCAGGGGAUGACUUGUGGAUAGGGGUGAAAGGCUAAUCAAGCCUGGUGAUAGCUGGUUCUCCCCGAAAGCUAUUUAGGUAGCGCCUCGGACGAAUACCAUAGGGGGUAGAGCACUGUUUCGGCUAGGGGGUCAUCCCGACUUACCAAACCGAUGCAAACUCCGAAUACCUAUGAGUACUAUCCGGGAGACAGACUGCGGGUGCUAACGUCCGUAGUCAAGAGGAAAACAAUCCAGACCGCCAGCUAAGGCCCCAAAAUCAUAGUUAAGUGGGAAACGAUGUGGGAAGGCAUAGACAGCUAGGAGGUUGGCUUAGAAGCAGCCACCCUUUAAAGAAAGCGUAAUAGCUCACUAGUCGAGUCGGCCUGCGCGGAAGAUGUAACGGGGCUAAAACUAUGUGCCGAAGCUGCGGAUGUAUACUUUGUAUACGUGGUAGGGGAGCGUUCUGUAAGCCGAUGAAGGUGUGUUGAGAAGCAUGCUGGAGGUAUCAGAAGUGCGAAUGCUGACGUGAGUAACGACAAAACGGGUGAAAAACCCGUUCGCCGAAAGACCAAGGGUUCCAGUCCAACGUUAAUCGGGGCUGGGUGAGUCGACCCCUAAGGCGAGGCCGAAAGGCGUAGUCGAUGGGAAAAUGGUUAAUAUUCCAUUACUUCUGUGUAAUGCGAUGAGAGGACGGAGAAGGCUAAAUCAGCCUGGCGUUGGUUGUCCAGGUGAAAGGAUGUAGGCAUGUAUCUUAGGCAAAUCCGGGGUACUCUAUGCUGAGAUCUGAUAGCAAGCUGUACUUGUACAGCGAAGUGGUUGAUGCCAUGCUUCCAGGAAAAGUCUCUAAGCUUCAGUUACACAGGAAUCGUACCCGAAACCGACACAGGUGGUCAGGUCGAGUAGACCAAGGCGCUUGAGAGAACUCUGCUGAAGGAACUAGGCAAAAUGGUACCGUAACUUCGGGAGAAGGUACGCUGUUGUUGGUGAUGGAACUCGCUUCCUGAGCUGACGACAGCCGCAGAAACCAGGCCGCUGCAACUGUUUAUUAAAAACAUAGCACUCUGCAAACACGAAAGUGGACGUAUAGGGUGUGAUGCCUGCCCGGUGCUGGAAGGUUAAUUGAUGGGGUUAGCGUAAGCGAAGCUCUUGAUCGAAGCCCCAGUAAACGGCGGCCGUAACUAUAACGGUCCUAAGGUAGCGAAAUUCCUUGUCGGGUAAGUUCCGACCUGCACGAAUGGCAUAAUGAUGGCGGCGCUGUCUCCAGCAGAGGCUCAGUGAAAUCGAAAUCGCUGUGAAGAUGCAGUGUACCCGCGGCUAGACGGAAAGACCCCGUGAACCUUUACUGCAGCUUGACACUGAACUUUGACCUUACUUGUGUAGGAUAGGUGGGAGGCUUUGAAGCUGGAACGCUAGUUCCAGUGGAGCCGUCCUUGAAAUACCACCCUGGUAAUGUUGAGGUUCUAACUCUGUCCCGUGAUCCGGGACGAGGACCGUGUCUGGUGGGUAGUUUGACUGGGGCGGUCUCCUCCUAAAGAGUAACGGAGGAGUACGAAGGUGCGCUCAGCGUGGUCGGAAAUCACGCGUAGAGUAUAAAGGCAAAAGCGCGCUUAACUGCGAGACCCACAAGUCGAGCAGGUACGAAAGUAGGUCUUAGUGAUCCGGUGGUUCUGUAUGGAAGGGCCAUCGCUCAACGGAUAAAAGGUACUCUGGGGAUAACAGGCGGAUACCGCCCAAGAGUUCAUAUCGACGGCGGUGUUUGGCACCUCGAUGUCGGCUCAUCUCAUCCUGGGGCUGAAGCAGGUCCCAAGGGGAUGGCUGUUCGCCAUUUAAAGAGGUACGCGAGCUGGGUUUAGAACGUCGUGAGACAGUUCGGUCCCUAUCUACCGUGGGCGCUGGAAAUUUGAGAGGAUCUGCUCCUAGUACGAGAGGACCAGAGGGGACGAACCUCUGGUGUACCGGUUGUGACGCCAGUCGCAUCGCCGGGUAGCUAUGUUCGGAAGGGAUAACCGCUGAAAGCAUCUAAGCGGGAAGCCUACCUCAAGAUAAGAUUUCCCUAGGACUUUAUGUCCUCUAAAGAGCCGUUCGAGACUAGGACGUUGAUAGGUUGGAUGUGGAAGCAUAGUGAUAUGUGAAGCUGACCAAUACUAAUUGCUCGUGAGGCUUGACUAU
Molecule: ribosomal RNA, 2891 nt
Filed under: Acinetobacter baumannii 25493_2
Lineage: Bacteria; Pseudomonadati; Pseudomonadota; Gammaproteobacteria; Moraxellales; Moraxellaceae
Description: bacterial LSU rRNA
Rfam family: Bacterial large subunit ribosomal RNA
Source: RNAcentral